Long non-coding RNA from Nematostella vectensis (starlet sea anemone), 434 nucleotides. RefSeq lists it as uncharacterized. Lineage: Eukaryota; Metazoa; Cnidaria; Anthozoa; Actiniaria; Edwardsiidae. The record is from RefSeq and is a predicted model, not a curated record. The transcript is spliced from 2 exons.
UAGGUAGAUAAAGAACAUUCUUUGAGUAAAUCAGCUUCCUGCUGUAAUUUUCAGAUGGCUAAUACAAAGAGACUAUGAAUUCCUUGGCAGGCUAUUCUUUAUUAGGCACCACAAACUAAACAAGAGGUGCAGAUGACAUCAACAAAAGUUUGCUUACUUGAGAAGCUCAAGGAUUGCAACAACUAUGUCAUUCACAUAGCAAAACCCUGAUGCCUAUGGAUAAAAGAGGUACAAAAGAUUGAACCCUUGCAGCAGAUGUACCCACCCCCUGGUUCAGCCGAACAGCCCCCUCCAGCGAUGCACCCGUGUAUAUCGAGCAGAAAUCAAACAAUCCUGGAAACACAGGGCUACGGGAAAAUAAGUAGUGUCAGUGAUAUUAUUCAACUGUUGUCAAUUAAACCACAAUAUCAAUAAAUAGCCUGAAAAUAUACAAA